AUACGGAGGGUGCAAGCGUUGUUCGGAAUCACUGGGCGUAAAGGGCGCGCAGGCGGUUUGGUAAGUCAGAUGUGAUAGCCCAUGGCUCAACCAUGGAAGUGCAUUUGAAACUGUCAGACUUGAGUACUAGAGGGGAAAGUGGAAUUCCCGGUGUAGAGGUGAAAUUCGUAGAUAUUAGGAAGAACACCAGUGGCGAAGGCGGCUCACUGGCUCGAUACUGACGCUGAGGUGCGAAAGCGUGGGGAGCAAACAGGAUUAGAUACCCUAGUAGUCC
Molecule: ribosomal RNA, 274 nt
Filed under: uncultured bacterium
Lineage: Bacteria
Description: partial 16S ribosomal RNA
Rfam family: Bacterial small subunit ribosomal RNA
Source: RNAcentral